This 264-nucleotide ribosomal RNA is filed under the name uncultured bacterium. RNAcentral's name for it is "partial 16S ribosomal RNA". It matches the Rfam family "Bacterial small subunit ribosomal RNA", at positions 333 to 594 of the family's 1533-position model. The record is from RNAcentral.
UAAGUCCUACGGGGCGCAGCAGUGAGGAAUAUUGGUCAAUGGGAGAGAUCCUGAACCAGCCAAGCCGCGUGAGGGAAGACGGCCCUAUGUGUUGUAAACCUCUUUUGUCGGAGAACAAAACCCGGGACGUGUCCCGGACUGCGUGUAUCCGAAGAAAAAGCAUCGGCUAACUCCGUGCCAGCAGCCGCGGUAAUACGGAGGAUGCGAGCGUUAUCCGGAUUUAUUGGGUUUAAAGGGUGCGUAGGCGGUCCGUUACGUCAGCGG